AGAGUUUGAUCCUGGCUCAGAACGUACGCUGGCGGCACGCCUAACACAUGCAAGUCGAACGAAGUAGCAAUACUUAGUGGCAGACGGGUGAGUAACAUGUAGGUAUCUGCCCUUUGGCCUGGAAUAACACGAGGAAACUUGUGCUAAUACCGGAUAAGUCUUUACGGAGAAAGCUUUAUGCACCAUUGGAUGAGCCUGCACUUGAUUAGUUUGUUGGUGGGGUAAUGGCCUACCAAGACUGUGAUCAAUAGCUGAUUUGAGAGGAUGAUCAGCCACAUUGGGACUGAGACACGGCCCAAACUCCUACGGGAGGCAGCAGUGGGGAAUCUUGCACAAUGGAGGAAACUCUGAUGCAGCGAUGCCGCGUGAGUGAAGAAGGCCCUUGGGUUGUAAAGCUCUUUCGUCGGGGAAGAAAAUGACUGUACCCGAAUAAGAAGGUCCGGCUAACUUCGUGCCAGCAGCCGCGGUAAUACGAAGGGACCUAGCGUAGUUCGGAAUUACUGGGCUUAAAGAGUUCGUAGGUGGUUGAAAAAGUUAGUGGUGAAAUCCCAGAGCUUAACUCUGGAACUGCCAUUAAAACUUUUCAGCUAGAGUAUGAUAGAGGAAAGCAGAAUUUCUAGUGUAGAGGUGAAAUUCGUAGAUAUUAGAAAGAAUACCAAUUGCGAAGGCAGCUUUCUGGAUCAUUACUGACACUGAGGAACGAAAGCAUGGGUAGCGAAGAGGAUUAGAUACCCUCGUAGUCCAUGCCGUAAACGAUGUGUGUUAGACGUUGGAAAUUUAUUUUCAGUGUCGCAGGGAAACCGAUAAACACACCGCCUGGGGAGUACGACCGCAAGGUUAAAACUCAAAUGAAUUGACGGGGACCCGCACAAGUAGUGGAGCAUGUGGUUUAAUUCGAAGAUACGCGCAGAACCUUACCAACACUUGACAUGUUCGUCGCGACUCUAAGAGAUUAGAGUUUUCGGUUCGGCCGGACGAAACACAGGUGCUGCAUGGCUGUCGUCAGCUCGUGUCGUGAGAUGUUGGGUUAAGUCCCGCAACGAGCGCAACCCUCACUUUUAGUUGCCA
Molecule: ribosomal RNA, 1068 nt
Filed under: uncultured bacterium
Lineage: Bacteria
Description: bacterial SSU rRNA
Rfam family: Bacterial small subunit ribosomal RNA
Source: RNAcentral